RNAcentral lists this transfer RNA (72 nucleotides) under Synechococcus phage S-CREM1. It matches the Rfam family "tRNA". Rfam says of the family: Transfer RNA (tRNA) molecules are approximately 80 nucleotides in length. Lineage: Duplodnaviria; Heunggongvirae; Uroviricota; Caudoviricetes; Pantevenvirales; Kyanoviridae. The record is from Rfam by way of RNAcentral.
GCGGAAUUAGUUCAGUGGUAGAACGCUAUCCUUCCAAGUUAGAUGUCAGGGGUUCGAGUCCCCUAUUCCGCU